RNAcentral lists this ribosomal RNA (246 nucleotides) under uncultured bacterium. RNAcentral's name for it is "partial 16S ribosomal RNA". It matches the Rfam family "Bacterial small subunit ribosomal RNA", at positions 88 to 334 of the family's 1533-position model. The record is from RNAcentral.
UAAGUUAGUGGCGGACGGGUGAGUAACGCGUGGGUAACCUGCCUCAUACAGGGGGAUAACAGUUGGAAACGGCUGCUAAUACCGCAUAAGCGCACAGUACCGCAUGGUACGGUGUGAAAAACUCCGGUGGUAUGAGAUGGACCCGCGUCUGAUUAGGUAGUUGGUGGGGUAACGGCCUACCAAGCCGACGAUCAGUAGCCGACCUGAGAGGGUGACCGGCCACAUUGGGACUGAGACACGGCCCAA